RNAcentral lists this ribosomal RNA (465 nucleotides) under uncultured bacterium. RNAcentral's name for it is "partial 16S ribosomal RNA". It matches the Rfam family "Bacterial small subunit ribosomal RNA", at positions 338 to 795 of the family's 1533-position model. The record is from RNAcentral.
CCUACGUGGGGCUGCAGUGGGGAAUAUUGCACAAUGGGGGGAACCCUGAUGCCGCACUGCCGCGUGAGGGAUGAAGGUCUUCGGAUCGUAAACCUCUGUCAGCAGGGAAGAACGGUCACUGUGCUAAUCAGCAUUGAAUUGCCGGUACCUGCAAAGGAAGCACCGGCUAACUCCGUACCAGCAGCCGCGGUAAUACGGAGGGUGCGAGCGUUAAUCGGAAUUACUGGGCGUAAAGCCCUCGUAGGCGGUAUGUCAAGUCAAGGGUGAAAUCCCCGCGCUCAACGUGGGAACUGCAUUUGAAACUGUUGAUCUUGAGUACUGGAGAGGCAGACGGAAUUCCUAGUGUAGCGGUGAAAUGCGUAGAUAUUAGGAGGAACACCAGUGGCGAAGGCGGUCUGCUGGACAGCAACUGACGGUGAGGCGCGAAAGCGUGGGGAGCAAACAGGAUUAGAUACCCCAGUAGUC